Molecule: ribosomal RNA, 384 nt
Filed under: Pythia borneensis
Lineage: Eukaryota; Metazoa; Mollusca; Gastropoda; Ellobiida; Ellobiidae
Description: partial 12S ribosomal RNA
Source: RNAcentral
CUGGGGAUUAGAUACCCCACUAUANGGAAUAAAAANUUCCACNGAAGCACUAAAGCCCUCAGGNUAAAANUUAAUGGGCAUGGNGGCAAGNUAGACCUCUCAGGGGAAUUUACCCGGUAAUCGACAACCCACAAAGGGGCCCCUCACAACCUAUAAGUUUGUAUACCGCCGUCUCCAGACACCGUCUAAGACUGUGUCAACCCUCUACCAGAGGAAAGACAGGUCAUGGCGCAGCCCAUGGUUGUGUGCAAGGUGAGUUACAAUCACUAAUUGUGUCGAAUAUGGAAUUUAAAUUGUCCAUGGAAGGAGGACUUGAAAGUAAAGUGUUAGGGAAGUAUAACUUGAAUAGUCUACUAGCCUGUGCACACACCGCCCGUCACCCUC